CGGAGGCUACCGCUAUUGGAGUUCGAUUAAKCCAUGCGAGUCSCGAGAAAUUAGAUUCUCGGCGUWCCGCUCAGUAACACGUGGGUAACCUGCCCUAUGCUGGAUAAUAACCUCGGGAAACUGAGUAUAAUGRUCCRUAGUUCACUACGCSUGGAACGGUGAGUGGAUGAAAGCUCCGGCGGCAUAGGAUGGGCCUGCGGCGUAUCAGGUAGUAGGGGGUGUAACGUACCCUCUAGCCCUCUACGCGUACGGGUGUUGGGAGACAUAGCCCGGAGAUGGAUUCUAAGACACGAAUCCAGACCCUACGGGGUGCAGCAGGCGCGAAAACUUGGCAAUGCGAGAAAUCGUGACCAGGGAACUCCAAGUGCAUCGGGUAAGACCGGUGCUUUUCUUGACUCUAAAUAGGUCUUGGAAUAAGGGGUGGGUAAGGACGGUGCCAGCCGCCGCGGUAAUACCGGYGCCUCAAGUGGUAGUCGCUUUUAUUGGGCCUAAAACGUCCGUAGCCGGUCUGAUACAUUCGUGGGUAAAUCAACCAGCUCAACUGGUUGAAUUCUGCGAGGACGGUCAGACUUGGGACCGGGAGAGGUGUGGGGUACGCUCAGGGUAGGGGUAAAAUCCUGUCAUCCUGGGCGGACCACCUGUUGCGAAGGCGCCACACUAGAACGGAUCCGACGGUCAGGGACGAAGCCUAGGGGCACGAACCGGAUUAGAUACCCGGGUAGUUCUAGGUGUAAACACUGUGGACCUGAUGUUGGGGGUGCUCCGAGCACUCUCAGUGUCGAAGCGAAGGUGAUAAGUCCACUGCCUGGGAAGUACGGUCGCAAGGCUGAAACUUAAAGGAAUUGGCGGGG
RNAcentral lists this ribosomal RNA (851 nucleotides) under uncultured archaeon. RNAcentral describes it as "bacterial SSU rRNA". It matches the Rfam family "Archaeal small subunit ribosomal RNA", at positions 18 to 873 of the family's 1478-position model. The record is from RNAcentral.